This 433-nucleotide ribosomal RNA is filed under the name uncultured bacterium. RNAcentral describes it as "partial 16S ribosomal RNA". It matches the Rfam family "Bacterial small subunit ribosomal RNA", at positions 29 to 507 of the family's 1533-position model. The record is from RNAcentral.
AACGAACGCUGGCGGCAGGCCUAACACAUGCAAGUCGAACGAAGUCUUCGGACUUAGUGGCGCACGGGUGAGUAACACGUGGGAAUAUACCUUACGCUGGGGGAUAACAUCGGGAAACUGAUGCUAAUACCGCAUACGCCCUUCGGGGGAAAGAUUUAUCGGCGAAAGAUUAGCCCGCGUCCGAUUAGCUAGUUGGUGAGGUAAUGGCUCACCAAGGCUCCGAUCGGUAGCUGGUCUGAGAGGAUGACCAGCCACACUGGGACUGAGACACGGCCCAGAAUCCUACGGGAGGCAGCAGUGGGGAAUAUUGGACAAUGGGCGCAAGCCUGAUCCAGCCAUGCCGCGUGAGUGAUGAAGGCCUUAGGGUUGUAAAGCUCUUUCACCCACGACGAUGAUGACGGUAGUGGGAGAAGAAGCCCCGGCUAACUUCGUG